This is a ribosomal RNA of Bison bison bison, 120 nucleotides long. Lineage: Eukaryota; Metazoa; Chordata; Mammalia; Artiodactyla; Bovidae. The record is from Ensembl.
GUCUCAGGCCGUAUCAGCCUGAAGGCGCCCGAUCUCGUCUGAUCUCGGAAGCUAAGCAGGGUCGGGCCUCGUUAGUAUCUUGGAUGGGAGACCACCUGGGAAUCCCGGGUGCUCGAGGCU